This 497-nucleotide ribosomal RNA is filed under the name uncultured bacterium. RNAcentral's name for it is "partial 16S ribosomal RNA". It matches the Rfam family "Bacterial small subunit ribosomal RNA", at positions 28 to 507 of the family's 1533-position model. The record is from RNAcentral.
GACGAACGCUGGCGGCGUGCCUAAUACAUGCAAGUUGAGCGAUGAAGAUUGGUGCUUGCACCAAUUUGAAGCACAGCGAACGGGUGAGUAACGCGGGGGGAAUCUGCCUUUGAGCGGGGGACAACAUUUGGAAACGAAUGCUAAUACCGCAUAACAACUUUAAACAUAAGUUUUAAGUUUGAAAGAUGCAAUUGCAUCACUCAAAGAUGAUCCCGCGUUGUAUUAGCUAGUUGGUGAGGUAAAGGCUCACCAAGGCGAUGAUACAUAGCCGACCUGAGAGGGUGAUCGGCCACAUUGGGACUGAGACACGGCCCAAACUCCUACGGGAGGCAGCAGUAGGGAAUCUUCGGCAAUGGACGAAAGUCUGACCGAGCAACGCCGCGUGAGUGAAGAAGGUUUUCGGAUCGUAAAACUCUGUUGGUAGAGAAGAACGUUGGUGAGAGUGGAAAGCUCAUCAAGUGACGGUAACUACCCAGAAAGGGACGGCUAACUACGUG